This 556-nucleotide ribosomal RNA is filed under the name uncultured bacterium. RNAcentral describes it as "bacterial SSU rRNA". It matches the Rfam family "Bacterial small subunit ribosomal RNA", at positions 73 to 605 of the family's 1533-position model. The record is from RNAcentral.
GCUCCCUUCGGGGAGUGAGUAGAGUGGCGCACGGGUGAGUAACGCGUGGGCAAUCUGCCCCCGAGCUCGGAAUAACCCCUCGAAAGGGGGGCUAAUACCGGAUAACAAUUCAAUCUCCCUGGCGAUUGAAUUCAAAGGUGGCCUCUGAUUUAAGCUACCACUUGGGGAGGAGCCCGCGUCCCAUUAGCUUGUUGGUGGGGUAAUGGCCUACCAAGGCUUCGAUGGGUAGCCGGCCUGAGAGGGUGACCGGCCACACUGGAACUGAGACACGGUCCAGACUCCUACGGGAGGCAGCAGUGGGGAAUUUUGCGCAAUGGGCGAAAGCCUGACGCAGUGACGCCGCGUGGACGAUGAAGGUCUUCGGGUCGUAAAGUCCUGUCAAGUGGGAAGAAGUAUGUGGUAGUUAAUACCUGCCAUGUUUGACGGUACCACUAGAGGAAGCCCCGGCCAACUCCGUGCCAGCAGCCGCGGUAAUACGGGGGGGGCAAGCGUUGUUCGGAAUUAUUGGGCGUAAAGGGCACGUAGGCGGUUUGGUAAGUCUGGUGUGAAAGCCCUC